AUGAAGCUCAUCUGCGACUUGCCGUCGCCGAAGUCCCUGCCGGACAAGUACGUCUUGCCGCCAGAGAAACGCCCGUGCGACAACGAGCUACGGGACGACCUCUCGGUCGCUCUCCCCGUCAUCGACCUCCGGGGUGCUAUGGGAGAUGGCCGCCGACAGGUUAUUGGUGAGAUCAUGGAGGCCGGCAAGGAGUUUGGCUUCUUCCAGGUGGUGAACCAUGGUGUGGAGGAAGACGUGAUCCAGGGCUUCCGAGAAGCGGCCGCGGAGUUCUUCAGGAUGCCGGAGGAAGCAAAACUCAAGUACUACUCCAACGAGCCGAACAAUCCAUUCCGGGUCUUCUCCGGCUCCGUCACGUCGCACACUGACACGAACGACAUCCGCUACUGGCGCGACUGCCUCAAGCUUCGGUGCUACCCGGUUGACAAGCUGAUGCACCAUUGGCCAUUAGAGCCAGAAAUAUUUAGGGAGCGUCUUGCCAAGUACGCGGUGGAAGUGCAGGACCUGGCGCGAAGGCUCCUCCGGCUGAUCGCCGAGGGGCUCGGCUUGGAUGAUCAAUUCUUCGAGGGCGACCUCACCGGCGGGGAGACGGUGAUGAACGUGAACUACUACCCGUCAUGCCCCAACCCGAGCCUCACUUUGGGCAUCCGACCGCACUCCAACCGCUACAUCCUCACGAUCUUGUCUCAGGGCGACGUCAGUGGUUUACAAGUCAAGCAAAAGGGACGCUGGAUCGGUGUCCAACCCAUAGACAACGCCUUUGUUGUCAACUUUGGGCUUCAGCUGGAGAUGGUGACCAACGGGGUGCUUACAAGCGUGGAGCACCGGGUGGUGACCAACUCGGCCAAGGCGAGGAUGUCAGUGGCAACACUUAUCAGGCCCAAUAUGGAGUGCAUGAUAGGUCCGGCACAGGUUAUGGUGGAUGGAGACACCAACCCUCCCAAGUACAGGGAUUUCACGGGGAGCGAGCUCAUCGAGGCGUAUGAGACCACUGCUGGCAACAGGGAGGCCCUGCUCGAAAUGUUCAGGAUCCAUCACACCAAAUCGUGCUAG
Molecule: ribosomal RNA, 1050 nt
Filed under: Triticum aestivum (bread wheat)
Lineage: Eukaryota; Viridiplantae; Streptophyta; Magnoliopsida; Poales; Poaceae
Description: partial small subunit ribosomal RNA
Source: RNAcentral